AUUGAACGCUGGCGGCAUGCUUUACACAUGCCAGUCGAACGGCAGCGCGGGCUUCGGCCUGGCGGCGAGUGGCGAACGGGUGAGUAAUGCAUCGGAACGUGCCCAGUAGUGGGGGAUAGCCCGGCGAAAGCCGGAUUAAUACCGCAUACGACCUGAGGGUGAAAGCGGGGGACCGAAAGGCCUCGCGCUAUUGGAGCGGCCGAUGUCGGAUUAGCUAGUUGGUGGGGUAAAGGCUUACCAAGGCGACGAUCCGUAGCUGGUCUGAGAGGACGACCAGCCACACUGGGACUGAGACACGGCCCAGACUCCUACGGGAGGCAGCAGUGGGGAAUUUUGGACAAUGGGGGCAACCCUGAUCCAGCCAUGCCGCGUGCGGGAAGAAGGCCUUCGGGUUGUAAACCGCUUUUGUUCGGGAAGAAAUCCUCUGGGCUAAUACCCCGGGGGGAUGACGGUACCGGAAGAAUAAGCGCCGGCUAACUACGUG
Molecule: ribosomal RNA, 484 nt
Filed under: uncultured bacterium
Lineage: Bacteria
Description: partial 16S ribosomal RNA
Rfam family: Bacterial small subunit ribosomal RNA
Source: RNAcentral